RNAcentral lists this transfer RNA (73 nucleotides) under Clostridium sp. M62/1. RNAcentral's name for it is "tRNA-Val". It matches the Rfam family "tRNA". Rfam says of the family: Transfer RNA (tRNA) molecules are approximately 80 nucleotides in length. Their secondary structure includes four short double-helical elements and three loops (D, anti-codon, and T loops). Lineage: Bacteria; Bacillati; Bacillota; Clostridia; Eubacteriales; Clostridiaceae. The record is from RNAcentral.
GGGGUCUUAGCUCAGCUGGGAGAGCAUCUGCCUUACAAGCAGAGGGUCAUAGGUUCGAGCCCUAUAGGCACCA